This 159-nucleotide ribosomal RNA is filed under the name Escherichia coli. RNAcentral's name for it is "partial 16S ribosomal RNA". It matches the Rfam family "Bacterial small subunit ribosomal RNA", at positions 490 to 648 of the family's 1533-position model. Lineage: Bacteria; Pseudomonadati; Pseudomonadota; Gammaproteobacteria; Enterobacterales; Enterobacteriaceae. The record is from RNAcentral.
GCACCGGCUAACUCCGUGCCAGCAGCCGCGGUAAUACGGAGGGUGCAAGCGUUAAUCGGAAUUACUGGGCGUAAAGCGCACGCAGGCGGUUUGUUAAGUCAGAUGUGAAAUCCCCGGGCUCAACCUGGGAACUGCAUCUGAUACUGGCAAGCUUGAGUC